CGUUCUAAUAAAAAUCUUAAGUUCUAUAAGACAAUAUUCACGUAAAUUCAGAAUUCAAAUGUACCAAUGAUCUUGAUGCAGUAGUUCUUCAUACUAAGUGUGAAUAAAGAAUAAGUGGGUGGUCUUUAGGAAACAGAUACUUAAUAACAAUAAUCAAAAUAAGUAUCGUAACAAGAAUAGUAUAAUACAAAUAAACCAUAACUUUCCACUUAUAAAUACAAAAAAAAGUCAUUUGAUAACUAGCCGGAUGUUUAUCAAUUAAAAAUUCUUAAAAUAUUUCUUUUAAAAUAUAUGCACAUUUCUGAUCUAUAAAUUAUAUCACAUUUCUAUAAGAAUAAUCUCUCAUGAAGUAACGAACUACAUCAUGA
Molecule: long non-coding RNA, 368 nt
Filed under: Mytilus galloprovincialis (Mediterranean mussel)
Lineage: Eukaryota; Metazoa; Mollusca; Bivalvia; Mytilida; Mytilidae
Source: RNAcentral